Molecule: transfer RNA, 72 nt
Filed under: Leucoptera malifoliella (pear leaf blister moth)
Lineage: Eukaryota; Metazoa; Arthropoda; Insecta; Lepidoptera; Lyonetiidae
Description: tRNA-Ile
Source: RNAcentral
AAUAAAGUGCCUGAAAAAGGAUUAUUCUGAUAGAAUCAAAUUAUGUAAUAUACUUAUGAAUUACCUUUAUUA